AUUGAACGCUGGCGGAAUGCUUUACACAUGCAAGUCGAGCGGCAGCGCGGCCUUCGGGCUGGCGGCGAGCGGCGAACGGGUGAGUAAUGCAUCGGAACAUGCCCAGUCGUGGGGGAUAACACUUCGAAAGAAGUGCUAAUACCGCAUACGUCCUGAGGGGGAAAGCGGGGGAUCGCAAGACCUCGCGCGAUUGGGGUGGCCGAUGUCAGAUUAGCUAGUUGGUGGGGUAAAGGCCUACCAAGGCGACGAUCUGUAGCUGGUCUGAGAGGAUGAUCAGCCACACUGGGACUGAGACACGGCCCAGACUCCUACGGGAGGCAGCAGUGGGGAAUUUUGGACAAUGGGGGCAACCCUGAUCCAGCCAUGCCGCGUGAGUGAAGAAGGCCUUCGGGUUGUAAAGCUCUUUCGGCAGGAACGAAACGGUGGGCUCUAACAUAGUCCGCUAAUGACGGUACCUGAAGAAGAAGCACCGGCUAACUACGUG
This 484-nucleotide ribosomal RNA is filed under the name uncultured bacterium. Its description in RNAcentral is "partial 16S ribosomal RNA". It matches the Rfam family "Bacterial small subunit ribosomal RNA", at positions 29 to 507 of the family's 1533-position model. The record is from RNAcentral.